Molecule: ribosomal RNA, 1235 nt
Filed under: Onomaus tenuis
Lineage: Eukaryota; Metazoa; Arthropoda; Insecta; Hemiptera; Miridae
Description: 16S ribosomal RNA
Rfam family: Archaeal large subunit ribosomal RNA (bases 992-1150)
Source: RNAcentral
UAAUUUUUAUAUUAAUAUAAUUUAUUAUUUUAUUUAUUUUAAAAAAAAAAUUUUAUUUUUUAGUAUUUUAGAAAUAAAUAAGUUUUUAUAGUUUAAUGUACUGUUAAGGAAUUAUGAAUAUUUUUAUCAAAGUAAUUAUAUUUAAUUUACCUUUUGUAUCAGGGUUUAUUUAUUUUUAAAAUAUAUAUUUAUUUUCCCGAAAUUUUAAGUUAUAUAAUAAAAUUAUGUUUAAUGUUUUAAUAUUAUCAUAAAUUUUAUUAUAGUGGAGAAAUUCUAUUCAAUUAAAAAUAUCUGGUUUUUUAAGAAUUAGAUUUAAUCUAUGAUUAAUUUUUCAUUAUAUGUUAAUUUUUUUUAAUCACAAAUUAAUUAGGAUAAGCUAUUUGAUGUUUCUAUAAAAUGUUUUUUGUAAAAUUUUUUGUAGGUUUAAUAAUAUUCAUCAUAUAUUUUUUUAUAAUUAAAUAUUUAAUUAUUUUUAUUUAUUUUUUUUUAGAUUUAUAUUAAAUUAAUUAAUUUAAUUAUUAAAUUAUUGUAAUAUUGAUAAAAUUAGUAUUUUAUAUAAUUAAAAUAUAGUAAUUUGGCAAAUAUUAUUUUCGCCUGUUUAACAAAAACAUGGUUUUUUGUUUAUAUAAAAAAUUUGACCUGCUCUAUGAUUUAUUAAAUGGCUGCAGUAUUUUGACUGUACAAAGGUAGCAUAAUCAUUUGUCUUUUAAUUGAAGGCUGGUAUGAAUGGUUGGACGAGAAAUAUACUUUCUUUAUUUUAUAUAAUAAAGUUAAUUUUUUAGUUAAAAAGCUAAAAUAAUUUUAUAGGACGAGAAGACCCUAUAGAACUUUAUUUUUAAUUUUUAUAAAAUUUAUAGAUUUAUAUAAAUUUAUAUUUAUAUAUAAAUUUUGUUGGGGUGAUAAAAAAAAUUAUAUAACUUUUUUAAUAUUUUACAUUUAUAUAUGUAUAUUUGAUCCUUUAUUAUUGAUUAUAAGAUUAAGUUACCUUAGGGAUAACAGCGUUAUUUUUUUGGAGAGUUCUUAUCGAUAAAAAAGUUUGCGACCUCGAUGUUGGAUUAAAAUAAGUGAUAGGAGUAUAAUAUUAUUUACUAGGUCUGUUCGACCUUUAAUUUUUUACAUGAUCUGAGUUCAGACCGGCGUGAGCCAGGUCGGUUUCUAUCCUUAAAUAAAUACUAAAUUUUAGUACGAAAGGACCAAAUUUUGGGAAAAUUUUUUAUUUAUAUGAUUUUAUUAAU